UUGUAAAAUAAAAGCCCUCUAAGUCUCUAUAUAUACUACACCCUCGAUGCCACUUUUCAGUCAAGGAAGAAUCUAAAAAAUUCACAGCAAUGGCACUAAACACAAAGCAGUCUCCACUCACAACAGUUCAAGCACAGUCAUCGCAGAUCAAGCAAAGGAAGAGAAGAAGGCUGCAGGUAUGCUGUCAGGUGGAAGUAAUUAGAGAUGAACAAGAAUGUCAACAGACGCAAAGGUUAGAGAAAAAUGCCAAGCCACUGCAAUCUCAUCAAUUAUUCCAGCAACUCCGCUUUCUUUAGUGGCUGACUAAACAACCCGGAACCCAACUUGCACUGGUUUCUCUCUAUACAGAAAACCCAUCCCCAGCUUCGCCUCAGCUGGAUGUUUCGAUGAAAACAAAGAGAGCAAAAAGGAUUUCACUCAAACCAUCAACCUCAAUUAGUUGGCUUCCUCCCAUGAUUUCUUUGCCUAGCUCGUCCGUGGCUCAUUAUUUAGUUUGGUCUAGAGAACCAAAAAACCCCGAGCUUUGGUUUCAAUUUGGUUUUUAAACAUUUUGACCAAACUGAAAACUGAAUUUUAGUAGUAAAAAGUAAAGGCUUAUAAUAUUUUGGUAUAUAUACUAUAAAUUUUUUUUAUUUUUUAUUUGUAAUAUAUUUAUUUUGUGCUUGUAAGAGUUUUGUAGGGAUUACUUUUUGCUUGUGUUACUAGUAGCUUAUUUAAAUUCUUGUCUUGU
Non-coding RNA from Theobroma cacao (cacao), 730 nucleotides. The record is from RefSeq and is a predicted model, not a curated record. NCBI's taxonomy places the organism in Eukaryota, Viridiplantae, Streptophyta, Magnoliopsida, Malvales, Malvaceae.